This 273-nucleotide unclassified non-coding RNA is filed under the name Hevea brasiliensis (rubber tree). Lineage: Eukaryota; Viridiplantae; Streptophyta; Magnoliopsida; Malpighiales; Euphorbiaceae. The record is from RNAcentral.
UUUUCUUUUGCACAAUUUUAUUCAAACCUCAACGGUGUGAGCCAUAUUUUUCCCUCUCUCCUGCAGUGUAAGAGAUAGGGUGAAUAGUGACUUACUGUAGAAUGAUAAUGAGUGAUAAAGAGUAUGUGUAGCCAUCCUUCAGAAUGGAAUUGAAGAACAUAAUAAACAAGGAAGAAUAGAAUGGUGAAUUUAUGGCAACAACAACAACAAAAAAGGAGGCAUAAUCACUUCUUCUUGAGGGUGAAAGUUCCUAUCUAUUGUACGAAAGAAAAG